This 253-nucleotide ribosomal RNA is filed under the name uncultured bacterium. RNAcentral describes it as "partial 16S ribosomal RNA". It matches the Rfam family "Bacterial small subunit ribosomal RNA", at positions 524 to 776 of the family's 1533-position model. The record is from RNAcentral.
UACAGAGGUGGCAAGCGUUGCUCGGAAUUACUGGGCGUAAAGGGCGCGUAGGCGGCCAUCUAAGUCAGACGUGAAAUCCCCCGGCUUAACCUGGGAACUGCGUCUGAUACUGGAAGGCUUGAGUAUGGGAGAGGGAUGUAGAAUUCCAGGUGUAGCGGUGAAAUGCGUAGAUAUCUGGAGGAAUACCGGUGGCGAAGGCGGCAUCCUGGACCAUUACUGACGCUGAGGCGCGAAAGCUAGGGGAGCAAACGGG